GUAGGUGGCAAGCGUUGUCCGGAUUUAUUGGGCGUAAAGCGGGUGCAGGCGGUUCAAUAAGUCUGAUGUGAAAGCCUUCGGCUCAACCGGAGAAUUGCAUCAGAAACUGUUGAACUUGAGUGCAGAAGAGGAGAGUGGAACUCCAUGUGUAGCGGUGGAAUGCGUAGAUAUAUGGAAGAACACCAGUGGCGAAGGCGGCUCUCUGGUCUGCAACUGACGCUGAGGCUCGAAAGCAUGGGUAGCGAACAGGAUUAGAUACCCUGGUAGUCCAUGCCGUAAACGAUGAGUGCUAAGUGUUGGGAGGUUUCCGCCUCUCAGUGCUGCAGCUAACGCAUUAAGCACUCCGCCUGGGGAGUACGACCGCAAGGUUG
This 371-nucleotide ribosomal RNA is filed under the name uncultured bacterium. RNAcentral describes it as "bacterial SSU rRNA". It matches the Rfam family "Bacterial small subunit ribosomal RNA", at positions 527 to 896 of the family's 1533-position model. The record is from RNAcentral.